CCCGGUCACCAAGACUUGCCCGGGGUUGCAGCAGGACUCAGUCAUGGAACCCAGGAGUCCUGAGUCAGCCCAAUCCGUCCCCCGCCCUGAGCUGGGGAUGGAACCCAGGUGUCCUGAGUCAGCCCAAUCCAUCCCCCGCCCCGAGCUGGGGAUGGAACCCAGGAGUCCUGAGUCAGCCCAAUCCGUCCCCCGCCCUGAGCUGGGGAUGGAACCCAGGAGUCCUGAGUCAGCCCAGAUCCAUCCCCCGCCCCGAGCUGGGGAUGGAACCCAGGAGUCCUGAGUCAGCCCAGUUCCACCCCAA
This is a long non-coding RNA of Gopherus flavomarginatus (Mexican gopher tortoise), 301 nucleotides long. RefSeq lists it as uncharacterized. Lineage: Eukaryota; Metazoa; Chordata; Testudines; Testudinidae. The transcript has 4 exons. The record is from RefSeq and is a predicted model, not a curated record.